CCUACGGGGGGCUGCAGUGGGGAAUUUUGGACAAUGGGCGCAAGCCUGAUCCAGCCAUGCCGCGUGCGGGAAGAAGGCCUUCGGGUUGUAAACCGCUUUUGUCAGGGAAGAAAAGGUUCUGGUUAAUACCUGGGACUCAUGACGGUACCUGAAGAAUAAGCACCGGCUAACUACGUGCCAGCAGCCGCGGUAAUACGUAGGGUGCAAGCGUUAAUCGGAAUUACUGGGCGUAAAGCUGCAGGAGGCGGGUGAAAUCCCCGGGCUCAACCUGGGAACUGCCUUUGUGACUGCAUAGCUAGAGUACGGUAGAGGGGGAUGGAAUUCCGCGUGUAGCAGUGAAAUGCGUAGAUAUGCGGAGGAACACCGAUGGCGAAGGCAAUCCCCUGGACCUGUACUGACGCUCAUGCACGAAAGCGUGGGGAGCAAACAGGAUUAGAUACCCCUGUAGUC
RNAcentral lists this ribosomal RNA (450 nucleotides) under uncultured bacterium. Its description in RNAcentral is "partial 16S ribosomal RNA". It matches the Rfam family "Bacterial small subunit ribosomal RNA", at positions 338 to 795 of the family's 1533-position model. The record is from RNAcentral.